RNAcentral lists this ribosomal RNA (322 nucleotides) under uncultured eukaryote. RNAcentral describes it as "partial 18S ribosomal RNA". It matches the Rfam family "Eukaryotic small subunit ribosomal RNA", at positions 1470 to 1796 of the family's 1831-position model. The record is from RNAcentral.
CCCUUAGAUGUUCUGGGCUGCACGCGCGCUACACUGAUGCGUUCAACGAGUGUACAUCCUUGCCCGUUAGGGUUGGGUAAUCUUUUGAACACGCAUCGUGAUGGGGAUAGAUUAUUGCAAUUAUUAAUCUUCAACGAGGAAUUCCUAGUAAUGGUGAAUCAUCAGUUCAUCGUGAUUACGUCCCUGCCCUUUGUACACACCGCCCGUCGCACCUACCGAUUGAAUGGUCCGGUGAAAUCUCGGGACGGCGGCUUGGUCGCUUGCGUCCGACUGCUGAAACUUGAUUAAACCAUAUCAUUUAGAGGAAGGUGAAGUCGUAACA